AGAGUUUGAUCAUGGCUCAGAUUGAACGCUGGCGGCAUGCCUUACACAUGCAAGUCGAACGGCAGCACGGGGGCAACCCUGGUGGCGAGUGGCGAACGGGUGAGUAAUACAUCGGAACGUGUCCUCUUGUGGGGGAUAACCAGUCGAAAGAUUGGCUAAUACCGCAUGAGAUCGCAAGAUGAAAGCGGGGGACCGCAAGGCCUCGCGCGAGAGGAGCGGCCGAUGUCGGAUUAGCUAGUUGGUGGGGUAAAAGCCUACCAAGGCGACGAUCCGUAGCUGGUCUGAGAGGACGACCAGCCACACUGGGACUGAGACACGGCCCAGACUCCUACGGGAGGCAGCAGUGGGGAAUUUUGGACAAUGGGCGCAAGCCUGAUCCAGCCAUGCCGCGUGUGUGAAGAAGGCCUUCGGGUUGUAAAGCACUUUCGGACGGAACGAAAUCGCGCGGUUGAAUAUUCCGCGUGGAUGACGGUACCGUAAGAAGAA
Molecule: ribosomal RNA, 486 nt
Filed under: uncultured Methylibium sp.
Lineage: Bacteria; Pseudomonadati; Pseudomonadota; Betaproteobacteria; Burkholderiales; Sphaerotilaceae
Description: bacterial SSU rRNA
Rfam family: Bacterial small subunit ribosomal RNA
Source: RNAcentral